GUGUUCUAGUCUCUUGUGAGUCCUGAAAGAUAGCAGGAACAUUUCACACUGAUAAUUUGUUAAAGCAGAAUUUCCUGCAUGUUUUAUGGUGCUGUGCUAAAAUAUUCUGUCUCUAAAACUGUGUUAAUUCUUGGGAAAUAAGUUUUUCAAGCUUUUAAUUGUGGAGGAUUUUUCCCACUAGGUGGUAAUGGGCGAUGGAUCAAACUCCUUUUCUAAACAGUUGAAUUUUCAGUGUAAAAGUCUGUGGAAACACCCCUCCCUCUCCUCUGUGUCCAUCUCCUCAGAAGUUCUGUCUGUCUGCAUCUGUUUCAGCACAUACUUUGGACUCCUUUACAGACGACCAUUCCUCCUUCCUCAAUAGGUGUCUUCAGUGUUCUCUAAAUACUUAAAACUGAUUUUGACAAGUAGCUAAAACUUACUUAGCCUAAGACUUGUAUUUAAUAUAGUUAAUUAUAAAAAUAGCAACUAUUUUAAAAAUUGUUCUGUGUUCUGCUCUUAAGACCACACUUGUAUGCCAGGAGGCAGCAGCCACACCACUGGCAACCAGCGAACAGAUUACAGUGGAGGAAGUUGUCACAUGGUAUAUAAUAUUGCCCAGCCUAGGCUGGGCUGUGGGGAACACUCCCCUCCAGGUGAUUCAAGUUUCCACAGUCCAGCCUAGGCCCAGCCUGACCGGGAAGCAUUUAGCCCAUUUCUUGCCUCAGUGCCACCUUUUUCUGGGCAAGUAGUUAACUGAUUUUAUAAGCAAUGAAUACUUCAGAUAAAUCCACAACUGUAGUUGCUGCAGAGUAGAGAAGGUUGACCAUCACUAGUUUAAUUCUCCAAUGUAAAAGCUGUCUAGAGUAAUGUGUGCACAUGCCCACACAUGCCUGUGCUCUGAGGGGCUCUUGCACUGAUGGAUGCACAGAUGUCUGGGUUGCACUUUGAACAACACACUUGUGGCUUUAUUGGGUUUGCUGUUGUUUGUUGUUUUUUAAUCGUUGUUUGUUUCUUUUCAUUAAAGAAAGGUCUAAUCAGCUAGAUCAGACAGCAUCAUUUUUGUAUUUAAUGACAAUGACUUUGAGAAAUUACCUUAUUGAAUAAGCUUGUGUUGUGAAGCAAGAGCCUGCAAAACACACCUGUUGUAAAUGAACGUUCUGGCUCUGGAGGCCAGCAGCACUCUGUGGAGUUUCAGAGCAGUCUGUAGUUGCUCCAGUCAGUGAUGCCUAGUUGUGUAGAGGAGAGGUACGCUGUGCACUCUUCUAAGUGUGAGGGUAUGCAACUUUGGAUUUUAAAAUUAUAUACACAUACACACUUUAUAUAUAUGUAUGUAUGUAUGAAAACAUGAAAUUAGUUUGUCAGAAAUGUGUGUGUUUAGUAUUUUAGCUUAGUGCAACUAUUUCCACAUUAUUUAUUGAUCUAAGACACUUUCUUGUUGACACCUUGAAUAUUAAUGUUCAAGGGUGCAAUGUGUAUUCCUUUUAGAUUGUUAAAGCUUAAUUACUAUGAUUUGUAGUAAAUUAACUUUUAAAAUAUAUUUGAGCCCUUCCGUAGUAUUAUAGGGCUCAUACAGGGUGGGAAGGAUUUUAAUUUUCCAGUUGCUAAUUGAACAAAAGGGCCUCAUUAUGUAUUUUGAAUUAUAGAAGUUUGCCUCUGGAUCCCAGGAACAUCUACUGGGAAGGAUGUUUUAGGCAGAUUGUGAAGAUUGUUUUUUAAUCCUAAGUAGAUUGCAAAGCAAAACAUUUCAAAUCCAUCUAGAUUCCUAUAACUCAUUCCCUAAUUAUGUGGAACACAGAUUUCAUUUCAAUUUCAUGUAUCUAUGUGUUGGAGAGGCAGAAUUUUUUCCAAUAAUAAUAUUGCACAUCUAAGGUUGCUAUUCAGUAAUAUAAAUAGAAGAGAUAAGUAUUGAAUGACUUAGAAUAUAUAGUGACAAGAGGCCAAAUUGUUCAUGUUUGUGAGCAUUUCUUUCACAUAUUCACUAAUAGAGAAAUUCAUUUUAGACCCCUAGACCCUAUAACUAAGCCAACAAGUGAUAGGAAGUAAGUUAUUAAUAGUUGGUAAAGCAAAUGCAGAUUCUGUUCACUCAAACCAUAUGGUUAAUUAAAAAGAACUUACAGUCUCCCAAAAAGCGAAUGGAAAGAAUAUCUUCUUUUUUUCUUUUUGAUGGCAUUUGGUCACAGAAUAAGGCAUUAGAGUUAAGUCUAAACCAAUCUUUAAGCAACGGAAAAUAGCAACCCAAGUAAUCGUCAUAUAAUGAAGUUGACUUUGGGGAAUGUCAGCCUUUGACCUCUCCUUGCCCACCAUUCCUCAGCUAAGCAUAAAUUCCCAUUCUUAAAAAGAAACAGCCAAAAGGUGCUCUAAUUUAGAGCAUGGGGGAAAAGCUCCCACCCAGAAAUUCUAGAAAUACUCUGUUUUGACCUCUUACAUGGGGUUUCUUUACAGCUUUUUACCACUGGAAUUUUCUACCUGCUAUGUUCCUGUCUGGAAAAAAUCUAUUUGGAAAUGCUGGCUUUCAGAUCAAUGCCAUAAUUAUCCAUACUGUUGAGUUUAUUGUUGCUGUUCAAGAAGUGUCCCCAUUUUACAACUUCAUGCACACACCUGGCAGAUCAUUGACAUGAGCAUUCAACAGUACUGGGGUCGAGGUGGGGUGGGAAUGGGCAGGGCUCAGCAACAGAGCUGGCGCAGGUGGCAGUGUCUAAAAAGGCAUCACCUUUGAGGACCAGAUGUGGGGUUGGUAAGCACAGUUAUGAAAAUUUCUAUCCAGCCUCCGUUUUGAAUGGUUUUAAGAAAUUUUGUAUAUGGAGGACAUAAAUACUUUAUUUGUUGCAAUACAUUAAAAUUUCAGAGGUACUUUGGGGCUCAAAAGCUAGGAUUUCUAAGUCAGUAUGUGCAUUUCACGUAAUAAAGCUG
RNAcentral lists this long non-coding RNA (2889 nucleotides) under Bos taurus (domestic cattle). RNAcentral's name for it is "long non-coding RNA NONBTAT023243". The record is from RNAcentral. Lineage: Eukaryota; Metazoa; Chordata; Mammalia; Artiodactyla; Bovidae.